CCCUUAGAUGUUCUGGGCCGCACGCGUGCUACACUGAGUGGAUCAGCGGGUCAGGUUGCGCGAAAGCGUUUCCUAAUCUUUAAAUCCGCUCGUGAUGGGGAUUGACGGUUGCAAUUUUCUGUCAUGAACGAGGAAUACCUUGUAAGCGCGGGUCAUCAUCCCGCGCUGAAUACGUCCCUGCCCUUUGUACACACCGCCCGUCGCUCCUACCGAUUGAGUGGUCCGGUGAGGCUUUGGGAUCUGGGCGGAAAGAGCGUUUCGCUGUUUCUGCUCGGAAAACUCAGUCGAACCUUAUCAUUUAGAGGAAGGAGAAGUCGUAACA
This 322-nucleotide ribosomal RNA is filed under the name uncultured eukaryote. RNAcentral's name for it is "partial 18S ribosomal RNA". It matches the Rfam family "Eukaryotic small subunit ribosomal RNA", at positions 1470 to 1796 of the family's 1831-position model. The record is from RNAcentral.